GACAGAGGUGCCAAGCGUUAGGCGGAAUCACUGGGCUUAAAGCGUGUGUAGGCGGAUGCCUAAGUACCUUGUGAAAUCCCACGGCUCAACCGUGGAACUGCUUGGUAUACUGGGUGUCUUGAGCCAUCUAGGGGGCUACCGGAACAAAUGGUGGAGCGGUGAAAUGCGUAGAUAUCAUUUGGAACGCCAAUGGUGAAAACAGGUAGCUGGGGAUGUGCUGACGCUGAGACACGAAAGCCAGGGGAGCAAACGGG
This 254-nucleotide ribosomal RNA is filed under the name uncultured bacterium. RNAcentral describes it as "partial 16S ribosomal RNA". It matches the Rfam family "Bacterial small subunit ribosomal RNA", at positions 524 to 776 of the family's 1533-position model. The record is from RNAcentral.